This 663-nucleotide ribosomal RNA is filed under the name uncultured bacterium. RNAcentral's name for it is "partial 16S ribosomal RNA". It matches the Rfam family "Bacterial small subunit ribosomal RNA", at positions 56 to 700 of the family's 1533-position model. The record is from RNAcentral.
UGCAGUCGAGNGNANGAUGAAGAAGCUUGCUUCUUCUGAUUUUNNNNNNNNNNUNNNGAGUAACACGUGGGCAACCUACCUUGUANNNNNNNNUAACUCCGGGAAACCGGGGCUAAUACCGAAUAAUCCAUUUUGCUUCAUGGCGAAAUGUUAAAAGGCGNNUUCGGCCGUCACUGCAAGAUGGGCCCGCGGCGCAUUAGCUAGUUGGUAAGGUAACGGCUUACCAAGGCGACGAUGCGUAGCCGACCUGAGAGGGUGAUCGGCCACACUGGGACUGAGACACGGCCCAGACUCCUACGGGAGGCAGCAGUAGGGAAUCUUCCACAAUGGACGAAAGUCUGAUGGAGCAACGCCGCGUGAGUGAAGAAGGUUUUCGGAUCGUAAAACUCUGUUGUAAGGGAAGAGCACGUACGAGAGUAACUGCUCGUACCUUGACGGUACCUUAUUAGAAAGCCACGGCUAACUACGUGCCAGCAGCCGCGGUAAUACGUAGGUGGCAAGCGUUGUCCGGAAUUAUUGGGCGUAAAGCGCGCGCAGGCGGUCCUUUAAGUCUGAUGUGAAAGCCCACGGCUCAACCGUGGNGGGUCAUUGNNAACUGGGGGACUUGAGUACAGAAGAGGAAAGCGGAAUUCCNAGUGUAGCNNNGAAAUGCGUAGAGAUUUG